GACGAACGCUGGCGGUGUGCUUAACACAUGCAAGUCGAACGGUAAGGCCCUUUCGGGGGUACACGAGUGGCGAACGGGUGAGUAACACGUGAGUAACCUGUCCUCAUCUCUGGGAUAACAGUCGGAAACGGUUGCUAAUACUGGAUAUGAGCUUGCAAGGCAUCUUGUGGGUUGGAAAGAUUUUUUUGGUUGGGGAUGGACUCGCGGCCUAUCAGCUUGUUGGUGAGGUAGUGGCUCACCAAGGCUUCGACGGGUAGCCGGCCUGAGAGGGCGACCGGCGACAUUGGGACUGAGAUACGGCCCAGACUCCUACGGGAGGCAGCAGUGGGGAAUAUUGCACAAUGGACGGAAGUCUGAUGCAGAAACGCCGCGUGCGGGAUGACGGCCUUCGGGUUGUAAACCGCUUUCAAUUGUGACGAAGCUUUUUGUGACGGUAGCAGUAGAAGAAGCACCGGCUAACUACGUG
RNAcentral lists this ribosomal RNA (466 nucleotides) under uncultured bacterium. Its description in RNAcentral is "partial 16S ribosomal RNA". It matches the Rfam family "Bacterial small subunit ribosomal RNA", at positions 28 to 507 of the family's 1533-position model. The record is from RNAcentral.